GUCUAUAGCUAUGCCAUCCUGAACAAGCCCAAUGUCUGAUCUCAGAAGCUAAGCAGGGUCGGGCCUGGUUAGUACUUGGAUGGGAGACCACCUAGGAAGACCAAGUGCUGUAGGCA
RNAcentral lists this ribosomal RNA (116 nucleotides) under Pteropus alecto (black flying fox). The record is from RNAcentral. Lineage: Eukaryota; Metazoa; Chordata; Mammalia; Chiroptera; Pteropodidae.